UGUGCGCUCCUCCAUUGGGGGGUAUGGUAUGGGUUGUGUUUAUGAUCUUUGAACUCUACAGAGCAAAAGUGAAAAUGAAUCUCAGCAGUGCCAUUUUGUAAGGAGGGGAAAAGAAGGGGGAGCUGGCUGGUGGUAAGGAAAUGGCUAUACUUGGACUCAGGGCUAUGAUGCAUUUCCAUUUGGAAAUUGUGUAGUUCUGGUAGCACUGUUUACAUUCAAUGAUGGUGGCUAAAAGAUCAGACUCACCAAAACGCAGCUGUUUGUACAUUAAGAGUGACCAGUCAAUGGAAUCCCCAAUUAAGUUCACAGAUGUAGACUGUACUACUGAUAAGAGACUACUGUCUAUUUCUAAAAAGGAGCUGGAACACGAAGAU
Ictalurus punctatus (channel catfish) is the source of this 374-nucleotide long non-coding RNA. Lineage: Eukaryota; Metazoa; Chordata; Actinopteri; Siluriformes; Ictaluridae. The record is from Ensembl.